UUUCCGUAGGUGAACCUGCGGAAGGAUCAUUCAUAAUAAGUGUUUUAUGGCACUUUUUUAAAUCCAUAUCCACCUUGUGUGCAAUGUCAGGGUUGAUUUUUCUCUCGAGAGGAUCAACCCCAAACAUCAACUAUACCUCAACUCUUUGUCUGAAAAAUAUUAUGAAUAAAACAAUUCAAAAUACAACUUUCAACAACGGAUCUCUUGGUUCUG
This 213-nucleotide unclassified non-coding RNA is filed under the name plant metagenome. Its description in RNAcentral is "partial contains small subunit ribosomal RNA, internal transcribed spacer 1, and 5.8S ribosomal RNA". The record is from RNAcentral.